RNAcentral lists this non-coding RNA (29 nucleotides) under Mus musculus (house mouse). The record is from RNAcentral. Lineage: Eukaryota; Metazoa; Chordata; Mammalia; Rodentia; Muridae.
GCCUGCGUAGUAGAUACUCAUGGGAGAGC